CUCCCCGCAGGCGGGAGUGGGGUGGGAGGGGAGCGAGCGCGUUGGUGACGCGGGGCGCUCACGUGACGUGGAGCUGCAGAGCGACGCAGCCUUCGGUGCAGUCGUCACUCCCGUCUGGGUACCUGCUCCCCGGUGUCCUGCGCCCCGCGGGCUGGCGUCAGGCCCGAGGAAAGCGGAGCAGAUCUGCCUGCAGGUCUGCUGUAGGGCUUGAGAUUACUGGAAGCAAAGAAACAAGGACGAAAUUGCCCCUGAUCAGUAUAGACUGGUAAGAGGAUGGGAACUGCCUGGGUAGAGCCGUAGGGUGGGUUGGUCGUGAUCAGUGUGCAUCCAGUAGGGUCAGUGUCCAGUCUGGAGUAUCCUCAACCUCUCCCUUUCCUGGCCACCUUUCCUACCAUCCCUGUCACUUACCCCACACUCUCACUUAUAUUUUGGUACAGAGAGUAGGGUGAACUGAGAGAGAUAGAAAGGUAGUUUGAUAAUAUGCUUGUCACAUCAAGAACAAAAUCUCCACUCCCAUCUGUCCCUCUGUCUGUCUGUCUCUCUGUCUCUAGGUCCACAGAUCUCAUGAGUUAAUAAGAUCUACUUUAGGGUAUAUCACCAAUCAAGAGAAAGAAAGAGGAGGGAACUGCCUUGAUCAUUACAGGUUGGUAUGAGGCUGGGGAUCUUUGGGAGUGGUGACAAGAGUAGGUCCAGUAAAAAUCAAGGUCUGAGCGCUUCUCUGUCUUUCCCAUUCAUAAUCAGUCCCCCCCCCAUGUUUACCAUUAUUCAUUUGGUGUAAGGAAAUGUGUAUGAAUGCACCCUAGGGGAUAG
RNAcentral lists this long non-coding RNA (810 nucleotides) under Canis lupus familiaris (dog). RNAcentral describes it as "lncRNA (ENSCAFG00040017407.1)". Lineage: Eukaryota; Metazoa; Chordata; Mammalia; Carnivora; Canidae. The record is from RNAcentral.